GCCUCAGUCAAACGCAGCGGCUGUAAGGAGCGGCAGGGCUACCGAGUGUGUGCUUGUGUGUCUGUGUCUCUCCCCCUGCCCCCCAUCCCGCCUUGCUGUGUGUACUUGACCUCCACCACCUACGAUCAACUCCACAGCCCGGCGUGCUUCACGCUGCACCACAAAGAUGAACGCCAUUGGUGCCACGGGUGCGUCGACGAUGUCUGUGGCAAGCGUCAGCAGCAGCGUGAUGAGCGACGGCAAGAGGUACGAGGGUGCCUUCGACCAGCUCUACGGUGACACACACGAGCAGCUGCGGCAGCUAGCGCCGCUGAUCCACACAACCUUGUCGGCCUUCGUGGCCGCGCUGGAGUACUGGCUUCCGUUUCCGCCGGAGUGGCUGCUGCUGCUGGGCCCGUUUCUAGUAGGCUUUGUACAAGCGGUGUGGCCUAAGCUGUCGUCGCGGAUGUCGGUUUGGCGCAGCGGCGUUGGGCGGUGCUACGCUUCCCGGGUGCUAGUGCACGAGGCACCGAUGAACUUGUAUGAUGAGGUGAACAGCUUGAAUGAGCUGAUGUUCAACGCCGUUCUUCUCUACGUAUGCGGAACGCUGUGGCGCCAGAAGCCACUGCCAGAGUCGCGGCUGAUCGGCUUGCAGACGCGCGUGAUACUCAUGGACCCGUACCGCUGCUAUAGUUCCUCCACCUACGGCUCGCCAUUCCGAAUCGCCCACGAGGAGAACGAUGCAGACGAGAGGCAGAACCUGAAAACAGAGACCGUGUCCCGGCUGCGCGUCGUGAAGGUGCCACUCGACGUGUACCUGCCGGUGCAGGUGGACGACAUCGAGCUGUGCUACACAGAGGAGUCUUUUCACAAAAGCGGCUGCCGAGAUCGAUGGACACGGCACAACCUGACGCUGCGGUGCAAAAACUCGACGGAUGCCGGUGCGAAGCUGGACGAAUUCGUGCAACGCGCGCUGGAGGUGUUCGCGGAGGGGGCACCGGGCAAAGAGGACGACGCACUGCGGUGGUUCUUCGCGUACGGGGGCGAGUCUGACGACAAGGUGUUCUUCAACCAGUAUGUGCUGCGCAGCAACAAGGGCUUCGACACGCUAUUCUUCCCGCAGCGCGACGCGACGCUGACGCUGAUCAAUCAAUUUAUGCAGCGGCGCGGCCGGUUCGCCGUGGAGGGGUUCCCGCAGAGGCUGGGGUUCCUUGUAUACGGGCCGCCGGGGACGGGGCGGCACGCGUUCGUGAAGGCGCUCGCGGCGCACACCGGGCGGCACAUCGUGUCUGUGCCGCUGUCGAAGCUGCGCACGAACCAGCAGCUGUACGAAAUCUUCUUUGCGCGCGAGUACCAGUCGGAGGAGGGGGACAGCGUGCAGAAGCUGCGCAUGGAGGACGUGAUCUUCUUGUUCGACGACGUGGACGCGGCGGACUCUGUUGUGUGCGCGCGUGCUGCGCGCCGCGUGGUGCAGCGCCGUGCUGCUGCUCGGCUGACUGCGCGCGCGGGGUGGCGCGAGGCCCCGCUGACGAACUGCGUGAUCGAGAUGGACACGUCGUCGUCGCGGCCGGUGAUGCGCGUGGAGGACAACACGCUGCCGCUUGCGCUGCUGCUGAAGAUUAUGGGUAGCGACGCAUCGAAGAAUGACGGCGCGUCAGCGGUGGACCGCGGUGGCGGCAGGAGCACGGGCGGGCGGCGGCAGAAGAUGGAGGAGACGGCGGCGGCAGCAUGUGAAGCGGGCGCGAAGGUUGCUGGCGGGCACCUGCUCGGAAUGAACGACGUGCUGCUCGGGGAUAGCAAGGACAAGCUGGACCUGUCGGGGCUGCUGAACGUGCUGGACGGCGUGGUGGACAUGCCUGGGCGGAUGGUUGUGAUGAUCACGGAGCAUCCGGAGUGGCUGGACCCUGCGCUGAUCCGGCCGGGUCGCUUCAGUGUGCGGCUGCGGUUGGACUACAUGGAGAUGGAGACACUUGUGCAGAUGCUGGGCCUGUACUACGGCGACGUGGCGCACUCGCGGCGCGGCAGCGGUGCUGGUGCCGAUGGCUGUGCUGCGGGUGCGGGCGUGGGCGGCCGUGUGGAGGCGGCUUGCGCGGCGCAGUACUCUGCGGCUGGUUCUGCUGCUGGGUGUGUGGUGCACCGCGAGCUGAGCGAGGCGCAGGUGGCGCGUGUGCGUGGCGUUGUUGCUGCUCUGGAGGCGGAGGCGGACGCUGCUGGUGCGCGCGAGGUGAGCGCGGAUGGCAGCAGCGGCAGCGGCAGCGGCGAGAGCAAGUACCGCUUCCAGGUGACGCCAUGCGAGGUGGAGAUGCUUUGCAUGGAGCAGGACGACCUGGAGGGCUUCCUGAGCCAGUUGGCUGGCCUGGUGCGUGGGACGGUGCAGCUUUGAAGAGCGCGUGCGUGUGUGCCUGCAGCACGGGGCGACGCUCAUCGCUGCGGUCGCGACGGCUACCGCUCCUGGCCUUUGAGUGAGGCUGCUUCCCUGUGCCCCCAUCCCCUCCCUCCUGGCAGCCCUCCGCCAGUGCAUCGUCCCCCCCCCGCUCCCCACUCGCCUCCCCCCUCUCCAUCGCUUCCUCUCCCUCUGUGUGGCUGCUCGGUGCGGGUCGAUGCCCGUCCCUCUCGGCUUUGCCCUCGCCGCCGCCAUUUUGCAAGUGCCGGUGUUUCUUGUGGUUCGCUAUGGGGCAAUCCACGUUUUACGCGCGUGCACGUGCGCGCAGAUGCUGCUGUGUCUGUCUGUAUGUAGAUGCUGAUGUAUGUGGGUGUGGACGGCAUGCAUAUAAACGACGCGAUUAUCUUCUGUGGUGCGUCUCUGUAUGGUUAUUGUUGUUGGCCCAUCAGCGUAGGCCUUGGUGAUGCGCCGCUGGGUGAAAGAUGAAGCGGUGCUGCUCGCCAGCGGCACUAUACACACUGACAUAGACACGAGUAUGGCGGUAAGCGCACGAGAGUGUUUUGGUGGGGCGUGGAGUGCCAGAGUUUUCG
This 2952-nucleotide unclassified non-coding RNA is filed under the name Leishmania donovani. Its description in RNAcentral is "gene:LdHU3.22.1230(CDS-product:mitochondrial_chap erone_putative)". Lineage: Eukaryota; Euglenozoa; Kinetoplastea; Trypanosomatida; Trypanosomatidae. The record is from RNAcentral.